This 513-nucleotide long non-coding RNA is filed under the name Homo sapiens (human). Its description in RNAcentral is "heart tissue-associated transcript 17". Lineage: Eukaryota; Metazoa; Chordata; Mammalia; Primates; Hominidae. The record is from RNAcentral.
AGAGGGGAAAAUCUGGCAAUGUAAAUAGAAAGUAUCUGUUUACAUAGGUUUUUUAGAAUUUGAUCUGAAAUUUUAGCAAGUUGCAGAAUGGGUUGUGAAGCACAACAUUUCAUCUCUUUGAUUCUAGACACUAUCCUCAGAAAUUAGAUUUGAAAAAUGAGCUUCAUUUUCGAAGAACAUAUUGAAUUUGUUAUCUCGAUUAUGGAGGGCGACAAGUCCCACAGUCUGCCAUCUGCAGGAUGGAGAACCAGAGUGAGGAGACAUUUGGAAUAAAUAUGGCUUCUGGGGGCCCAUUCCUAUGGAUCAGCAGCUGGCUUCUGGAGGCCCAUUCCUGUGAAUCGUCGAUCUCAUAGAAGAUAAUAUUGUUAGAAGGCUUACCUCAUUGAUGCUGAACAUCCUAAAAAGCUUCUGCUGCUUUGAGUCACUGAAAAAGACCAAGAAACAUGAAUUUAAAAAAAAAUUUCAAAUGUUAUAAAAUAAAUAAUAUGAACUCAUUAUACCUACAAUGAAUAA